Molecule: long non-coding RNA, 760 nt
Organism: Salvelinus sp. IW2-2015
Lineage: Eukaryota; Metazoa; Chordata; Actinopteri; Salmoniformes; Salmonidae
Exons: 3
Source: RefSeq, a predicted model, not a curated record
AGAUAGAUAUGUGUAAUGUGUGAACAAACGGGUUGUAAUUCACCCAUGUGUUUUAGGGUCGUAGCAUUCUCUCCAACAAGAUGGCCAGAACCAUUACAUUCUUCUACACCCUCUUCCUGCAUUGCCUGGUCUUCCUGGUGCUUUAUGAGACUGCCUGGAGUGAGAGCAUCGGUCGAGACUGCUCUGCCUUCUGUGCCAAGAAGUACUCGGAUCYCCUGCAUCGUUUUCAUGAGAACGGGGACAACCUGUGACGCUUUCAAGACAACUGGUGGGUGGGGGGGGCGGACUAGGUCAGUUCAUGACGUCAGUGAUCUUCAGGUCAUAAAGUCGGAGUUCUAGAAAGAUGCCAGAAUUCCCGACUAGGAAUUCUGAGUUGGGUGGACCGUUCAACACUAUUUUCCAAGUCUGAGUUUUUUUCCCGAGUUGGUUUGACAGGAAGAACAGCUUUAUUUUCUGCAGUAGCUGCUUUUAACCACUAGGUGGUAGACUUGCUCUCUUCUUCGGGGGGGGGGGAACUAAGUGGAUGUGGUUUACGUGCAAACCCGUAAUAUUACAUUUUCAAAUCUUUGCAUUAACCGUGAACUUAAACAAGACCAAUGUGAUUUUGGCUAGUCGAGCUGUCAAUGGGAUGCUGGUCAGAAAAGUCGCCUUAGGUCUUGCUAUAUUCUGUUCUAGCCUGUAUUCUCCUAUUACUGAUAUUAACUGUAAUCUCCUAUGCUGAUAUGAACUGUAAUCUCCUAUACUGAUAUGAACUGUAAUC